RNAcentral lists this long non-coding RNA (879 nucleotides) under Homo sapiens (human). RNAcentral's name for it is "long non-coding RNA NONHSAT133326.2". Lineage: Eukaryota; Metazoa; Chordata; Mammalia; Primates; Hominidae. The record is from RNAcentral.
UUUCUAUUGAGCUGCUCAGUGCCCGGCUUAGAAGACCAGGAAAAGGAGUCACAGGUCGUAUGCUGGAGGCUUGAGCCGCGGCACCGUGGCGCGGCUCGCCUCGCUGCGGUUGGUGGUGGCGGUGGACAUUGCAGCGCGGCUGGAGGGGUAGGAAGAAGAAGAUAGUUUUGGGAUAGAUAGAGGUGAGAUAUUCCUGCACAUCCUCUGGUGACCCCAGAAUGAGGGGGACUCGCUGGUGAAUUGCCUCGGGCUUCACGUCCAGUACAGGCUGGGUCCCCGUGGUCGCCAAGCCUCCUGCCUGCUCAAUGAUGUAGGCCACGGGAUUGCAUUCAUACAGGAGCCGGAGCUGUGGAGGAACAGAGGCAGGACAAAUUCACCAAGAGCCUAGCAACAUGAAGAGAGAUGCCAGGAAGAAGAGAGAAGCCAGGAAACAAGCCAACCGCACAAUCCCCACAUCAGAGCAGGAGAAGAUGGGGGCCUGCUGGCAGAGCUGGGGCUUGGCUGUGGUCACUCUGAACCUGCUCUUUGGUGUUUUCAUGAGUGGUGGGAAGAAUAGGGACCAUAUGGAGCCCACACAGGAAGCUCUAGCAGUAACACAGCAAGCAGGAAGACAAUUCUAAGGAAGCAGCCCAUAGUCUUCUUUCUUUUCCUGUGCAUCUUCCACUGUCAGUGAGGCUCCUCAUUUAUGGUGAACCCAACUGUGUGUAUCUCCCAAGUUCUCACCCGCAGAUUAAUGUUUUCAGGAAGAUAGGCCAUCAACAGUGAGAGGAAGAAGUUACAUUGUCGUAUGAGGGAUGCAUUUUAACCAUUAAUUUGUGGUACAGGCUGGGCGCAGUGGCUUAUGCAUGUAAUCCCAGCACUUUGGGAGGCCGAGGUGGG